RNAcentral lists this unclassified non-coding RNA (132 nucleotides) under uncultured fungus. RNAcentral describes it as "sequence contains ITS1, 5.8S rRNA gene". The record is from RNAcentral. Lineage: Eukaryota; Fungi.
UAGAAUUGGCUGCCUUUUCGGUGCCGAUUUCACCCUGUGCAUACGAAACUUCAGUUGCUUUGGCGCCCCUCGCGGGGCGCCGGAGGACCUAAACCCUAGAAUCUUUGCCGUCUGAGUACUAUAUAAUAGUUA